ACAGCUCAGUUUAGUUUUUAUCUAGAGCUCUCGGGUCAGGCUGCAAACAAGGUCUGAAAAUCUCUGAACAAAAUUUCACUGACAAAAUCUACAGUUUCCACAUACAGAUUUUCAGUUCCUUUAUCCGUGAAGUUUAGCAUCAACAGCAAAAUCAUGUGUGGCUUUGGGUGCGGUCCUUAUGGCUACGGACCUUCGGGACCCUGCGGACCCUGGUGCGGACCUUGGUGUGGUCCCUGCGCCUUGUCGCUGGGACCCUGCAGCUACUCGUGCUGCGGUGGGCCCAAAGGCUGUGGACCGAGCGGGCCCGCCUGUUGGCCGUACGGCCUGUACACUUGCUAAACUUCAGAAGGGUUUUAGGAAUAUGUGAGCCAUUCCCGAAAAAACUGUACUGCAGGCCGCUAAAUAUUUCACACUGGAUGAACUGAAAUUUGAACAAAAUGAAUACCUGUCUUAAUUAAUAAAAAUUAGUGUGUGCCUCACCGUA
This is a long non-coding RNA of Drosophila elegans, 484 nucleotides long. RefSeq lists it as uncharacterized. The record is from RefSeq and is a predicted model, not a curated record. Lineage: Eukaryota; Metazoa; Arthropoda; Insecta; Diptera; Drosophilidae. The transcript is spliced from 3 exons.